UAAUCUUGCUAAAUGAUGUAAGGAGGCUCAAAACUGUAAUAUCUUGACUGGACUAAGAUGCUCUGUGGCAGGUACAGAACUGGAGGUUCUUCUCAGUGGAGAUGGGGGGGUUUACAUCAUGAGGUGUGGUUGAGGUAAGGGAUGAGAGGAAUCACCAGCAGAAGGACAGAGAGAGAUUUUUACUUCAUUUUUUAAUGUUUUGAGCCCUUAAUACACUCUCACCAUAAGCUGUGUUUGAUAGAAAAUACUGGGGUGUUCGUGUUUUAUUACAGCAUAAAAAGUAUAUAUUCUAUUUGGCCUUGUUUUAUUAUAGUAUAUAAAAUAUAUAUUCUCUGGGUAGCCGAGGUAGCAAUUACAUCUGAGCAAACUUGUAUUUACGUCUCUGUGUAAGGACCCACCCUCCACCUGCAGUGGAAGGAGGGGGCUGGGUAGGAACAAAACCUUAUUCUCGUGUGUCCACACAUUGAAGAGUUAGCUGGGAGCAGAUACUACACUUCCAGCUGCUGUCCUGUUAUAGCACACAACAGUGUUGAUGUGUAGCCGUAUCCCAGCCAUGUUUAGCUGUGUAAAUACUACUCGUACCAUAGCUAUCAUCUGAGCUACUGAACUUCACGUUCAUCUAGGUUUCUGCUCCUCAUUACGCAGCGUCUGGGCAAGGUCUCGCCAGUCCAAGGCACUUCUUCAGCUUCAGCACGCUCCCAUUGCGUGCAGGGGAGCUGAGCUGUCCAGCAGGACACUCAUGCUGCUUCCCAACAGCUUUUCUCCCCGUUUUGAAGAAGGAUGUGGUGACUCUGCUGCUCCAGUGACAGUGUUAGAUAUGCUCCUCUUUCUGGAAAACCACGUUCAGUCUUUGGAAGAUGUGCUGUAAGUAGUGGCUGAUUUCUCACGUGAGACUGUGAGUAGUGGAAGAGUGAAAAUAACAGGAGAGUGGUUUUUCUGCUAUUUCAGUCUCUGAUUUAAAUCAGCUCCUGAGGCAGCAUUCGUUUCUGGGAGGAGAGUGAUGCGUUUGGGUUGAGAUUUCUGCAGUGGGAGCAAUCUUCUGGCAUAGUGAACACUGCUAUUUCAGAGUUAGCAGAGAUGUUUAAAGGUGGCCAGUUACACUUACAGCACAGUAAGUCACACUCCUCAUAUCUGCACCACUGAGAAGCUGAACUGUAGAUCCCCCUGUUAUCAUUAAUGGAAAGGCACAGAUUAAAAUGUAAACCACAAAAUAAAUCCAUUAAAUAAACCAAAGAUCGAAGCAAAGAAGAAAUGUGAAAUCCUCUUGUAGGAGUUACACCUCCUUCUUACUUCCAGUUCAAAAUCAACCAGUGCAGGAGAAUUUAAUGAUACCACUGUUUAGUGAAAUUAGACUUGACAGUAGGCAGUUACCUUUUAUUUUGGUUGGUUAGGAUUUGCAAUUGUUUGACACUCCUUAGAAAUCACAGUAACCUGUUUUAAGGGCAGGCAAAUUAAGAUUCCCUCUCUGUGUACAACAUUACUCAUCACACCACAGCUGCAUGCUAAUUGGAAAAUAACUAGUGGAUGAGCAUGUCUCACACAAGCUGUCAUCUGAGCAUGGCAGGUAACGUACCAGAGCUGAGCUCACACCGAAUUUGCUCAUACACACAACAGCUAACUAAAAAAAACCUGCUGCAGGAAAUUAAUGCUACAGAAACUUCUCAGAUGCAAAAAUAAGUCUUAAUCUGAAAUGAUCCUGCUGAUUUCUUUUGGGGAAUUCACCUGAUCUCUCUUCCCUUCAGUGCCCCCAGCAUAGGAACACAUGGUUUCCUACCUGAACCUCAGCCCUGGCUGUUUUUAUUCAGAGCCUGCUGUUGAGUUAGAGGAACCCUGGGGUUUGCUGGGCCAAGCCAGGCUUCCAGGGAGAAGACCUCUGAAGGCUACACACACGAGACGACAGGCUACCAGCUUGGAUCUCAGCGGGGUGCAGGCUGCUCUCGCUGCUGUGACGCCAGCUGGGUCUGCAGCCUUAUCCAGAGCCAGUCCAGGUGUCUGCAGGUGACUUUGGUGGGUGAGAUGGAGCAGGGGCAGCUCCCAAGAGCCUGCAAGUUCCCAUGAAGCACAAACUACUCUGAAGCACCAACCGUCUAAGGAGAAAAGACAUUUAGAGCACCUGUACUGAAAGGGAGAAGGUGGAAGAGGCUGUACCAGCCCUGCUUCCUGCGCUGGUACACAGAUUCUAAACACAGGGGAUCGAGGAGAGGGCUAUGCCAAAUGGACAGGCUCAGCACUGCGCACGUCAGGGGCAGAUCUGAACACAAGCUCAAUGGCAACUCUCUGCUCCAGCUCCCAACUCCAUCCUCCACCUUCUCUUCCCGAAGUAACAAAGACGUUUGGUUUCCUCCCAGCCCUUCUCCCCUCCCCCUUGCUGGCACUGGGGUUAUUUAUACAGAAUGUGGAAACAAUUUGCAGGAAAGUGAACAAUGUAAGCUGAGCGAGGCAAGGGAGGCAAGUUCACUGUGCGUGCUUCCAGCCCAGGAGUGGAACACUGCUUUCCUGGGGAGGGAUGGAGAGGGAGUGGACACUUUUCCUUUCUUUCUGCUCUUCUCUUUCAAGGUCCCGCUUUCCAUCUUGCCAGGUUGGGUCCAAACCAGAGCAACCAGAUCUGACUGCAUGUUUUGGAGGGAGUUCAGGUUGGAUCCCUCCCUCCAGCACAGCUUGAUGAGGCAGUAUCUGUGUACUUAAUCCGUGCGGAGGUUUUGCUCUUGGAUCAUUGCUGCUCCUGGAUUAGCAUUAAUGAAGAGCAUGUGUGGUUGAGAGGUCCUGAUUCAGGCCCUGAGAGCUGCAGUGUUGCUAAAGGCAUUGUUUUCUGUUCUACAUAGCUAUUCCAAAGAACAGUUUGGCUGGAAGAUAAGAUUCCUCAGGAGUUAACAAGACAGCAAAGUCUAAUUUCAGUUUCUCUCCCCUCACCCACUUAGCAUGACGUUUUCAGAACAUCCCAGCACCUUGCUAGCACCAGUGUGGGUGUCUUUGUAAAUCAAGCAGUUUGCUUUAGUGCCCACCAAAGAGCUGAGCUCUGCUGCAGCUUGAGAACAUGCAGGGUGUCAGCCAUGGGAAGCUGGACCAGCACUAGAUUUGGUACCACUCAACAGGUCUGAGGUCUUCAGAUCUCGCUGUGCACUGGGCUCCAUACUGUGAAGUCCUCAAACAAAAGCAGUCCAAACCCACACACCUUUGGGUGUUGCAGAGGGAAGGAAAUGUUCUCCGCAGGUUGCACAUCCGAGUGCCUGCCUUGGCAAGCUCCUUCCUUCCCAGGAGCUUGCAGCCUCCUUUCUCAAUAGCCUCAAGACUUGGGACAUGAUCCAUGCAAGUUGUGCUGAGCUGGUAGGGCAGGGCCGGGAAGCUGCCAAGUGGGACAUCGUGUUCCUCCCUAAACCAGGCGAAUUUCCAGCUGUGAGCUGGUGCAGCAGAUACACUGUGAUCUGAUGGCACAGAGGGACAGUUGAAAGGAACCUGUAAUAGGGCUGUUCCUCCCUGAGAUCUUGCACUGGGCUUCCAACACAAGAGGGAUGUUGUGUUGCAGCAAGUCCAGAGGAGGCCCCGGAGCUGCUGCGAGGGCUGGAGCAGCUCUGCUCUGGAGCCAGGCUGAGAGAGCUGGGCUGGGGCAGCCUGGAGAAGAGAAGGCUCCUGAAGGGGAGACCUUAGAGCAGCUCCAGUGCCUGAAGGGGCUCCAGGAAACCUGGAGAGGGGCUUUGGACAAGGGCCUAUAGGGACAGGACAAGGGGAAUGGCUUUAACCUGCCAGAGGGGACACUGAGAUGAGGCAGAAGUUCUUCCCUGUGAGGGUGCUGAGGCGCUGGCACAGGGUGCCCAGAGAAGCUGUGGCUGCCCCAUCCCUGGCAGUGUUCAAGGCCAGGUUGGACACAGGGGCUUGGAGCAACCUGCUCUAGUGGAAGGUAUCCCUGCCCGUGGCAGGAGAUUGGAACUGGAUGAGCUUUAAGGUCCUUUCCAACACAAACCAGUCUGGGGUUCUAUGAUCCUCUCCACCUUCCAGUACUUACUGCUCCUUCUCAGCCUUCGUCUAUACAUGAAGUGUGAACUUCCAGUGUUUGUUCUGUAAAACGCCACAUCUACUCUGCCACAUGGAAUGUCAUGUGUCUCUGUGGACAGGCUGACCCUCCUAAAGCUAACGGCAUGGCUCAGGGACCGUUCCAAGUGCUGCUCCUUUCUUUAGCCAGUUCUUGGCCUGAAUUAACAACUCUAGGUGUGAAACACAGAAAGGGCUGGAGCAAAGAUACUUUGGCCACCUCUGUUUUCUGGUCGGGGGCAGUUCACCUCUUUUCUUUGGGCUCUUCUAAUUUCCACUGUCUCUCCAGAAGGGCCCAGGAACAGCAGCAAUUUCUUUUCUCUUCCAAGCCAGGCACCAGCGCAGGGACUGGAAGCCUAUGGCUGGGAGCAAGGAAUGGUUGUGGCAGUCUGCCCAUCCCCGUCGCCUCAGUGCCCACAUGCAGGAGCGCAGCUCUGCAGCGGCUGUGGCCCCACGGAGCAGUGACUCUCACAGUUCCCAACACAACCAUGAGCAAUCUCCUGAACGGAGCGUUCUAACUUCACCUGAAGAAAAGCAACUGAAGCAGAUGGGCUUGUAAACAGCAGAGACUUGGCUCUCCCACAGAGCUCCUUGCGGAGUGGAAGGGAGCGCAGUGGUUAAUAAACACCGAGCAACUUUCAUUUUCUGGGCUGAAAUGGGAUGAUCUGGGGAGGGUAGGACAGCACAGGAACAGCAACUAUCACAUUCUGGCACAGUCAGCUAUUCCCAGCAGAAGCUGUUCGUGUUUGAACUUGUAGCAAAUUGGAGAAUACGGGAAAGGGGGGAUAUGUUUUCCAGCAUCAGGGAAUUUGUGGGUGAGGAAAACAAGGUUUCCAGCAGUCCUUUUGCCCUAGCAUUUUGGUCUUGGUUUCUGAAGAGGCAUCCUGCUGUUCAUCUGUCAUUCUUCCCUCCCCUUGAAUUACUUCUCAGACUGUCAGUCAAUGAGUGACUUCAUUGAGAACAGAAUUCCCACAAGUUACCUGAAGGUUUGCAGCUGGACAGAGGAAAGAGAAACCCAAAGUAGGGUCACCACUGAGGGAAGGAACCUCCAGCACGCAUACGUUUGGGGUAGCAGCAGCAGCCAGCUGGCCAGGCAGCUCCAAAUGAGCGUGCUCUGCUCUUUGUCCAGCCAAGCACAUGCAAGACAUGGACGUGAGCAGGAAUACUGCAGGGAAUGGCAGAGGGAGAAGAUGAUCUGCGGGAUCUAAUUCCCUAAUAACCCAGCUUAGGACCUUUGGCUUCUCAGGGAUGCACUUGUCGCUGCAGCAUUCCAUGAGUGCAGCGAUGGUGAGGAGCUCCAAGGCGCAUCAGCCUCGAGUGGGAAGUUCAGGGACCCCAUCUGUCUGUCCUGCCACGUCCUCUCCCGCAGGUGCACCACGGGCACAGUCACAAGGGAGAUGGGCAGAAAAGCCUGGUGCUGCCAAGGACCAUCAGGGCCUUCAGACCAGGCAUUGGCAAACUUCUGAGUACAUCUGGCUGCCCCCAGGAAUCAGCACAUGAACUGUUUCCUGCAGGGACACAGAUCCCUGACUAUAUAAAGUCCAUAUUUUCUUGCCCUUUCCUUACCCUGUGUGUAAGAGAGCCUAAGCCUGAAGCAGGCAGGCAGGUGUCUUCCCCUCGUAGAGGGCUGGGGACUCCUUAUUUUUCUUUCACGCUUGGGCAGGACCUUUUUUCCUGCCAUUUCCAGCCACCCUUUGCUUCCCAGGAGAACCCAGGGGGAUUUGGUUGCUCAGCCUUAGAGCCAGGAAAUGAAUGAAGAGGGGCAGGAAAAGAAACAGAGUAAGGAGGUUCACUUCCAUAGUUCAUUGAGCCCAGAGAGAUUUCUAGAAACCACAUGUUAUCACGUGUGAAAGAAAUGAAAGAUGAUAACCAACGUGGAAGAAUGGAGCAGCCCAAAACUCCCACAGGCCGGUGAGUCUCCAGACAUGUUGGAGAGGCUUCAACAGCCUCAACAGCCUCAACAGAGGCUUCAACACAAUUUAAUGUGUAUCUGCUGGCAAAGAGCAGCCCCUCCACCUUGUUCCCAUCAAGAAUAGGUCCUGAUUCAUGUCAGUGUUUUCUUUCCUUGGACAGGGAAACUGCUGCAGAUCCUGGGGAGUGCAAGAGUCACUGAGAAGACAGACCUAUGAAAGAUGGUUCCACACUGGGAUUUUAGAGGGGUUUGUGCUUGAUCUAGGGUUGGAGAGUUUGUGUUUCUGCUUUUCUUGGGGAUUGGGAGGGGGGAGAUCACUAAGUCCCCGAGUCUUACUGUAAAAUUAUUAGAAUCUGGAACAGAUUAAAGAAAAGACAUUUAGGGACAACUAAAUGCACAGAGCAGCUUGAAUAUACCUUCCACCAGAGUUCAUCCGGUCCCAGAUAAAGCCUCUGAAAUGGGCAGUGCUUUAAUCAAGUAUAUAUGUCUGGGGACUGAAAACACAAGAAAGAAUGCUGAGGAGGAAGGGAUAACGCUUUCUUCAUUUCUUGGGGAGAAAAAGCCCUAAAGUUAUUAAUUUCUUUUCCUGGGAAUGUCUCAGCUGGACAAGAACCACUACAGGGUAAGGUGGUCCCAGAACCUGACACUGGCAGGACCAGUGGGCUCACUUCAUUCUGGCACAAGUCGUUCUGGCAUUUCUAGGAAGAUCUGUAAUUCCAAGUAAUAACCUCAGAGGUUAAUUGAGGUCUGACAAGAAGUUCACUUGGUAGGUGGGCCAGAGGGGGCUUUGAGGAAGUGUUUAGCUCAGUGUUGUUUUAAGCAUUAAUUGUGCCUGGGAAAGGGAGCUGCAGUAUCAGGAAUGACACCCUCACACAGCUUGGACUUGGAGACAGAGAAUCAGGGGGUCUGGUGAAAUCCCGUUGCCUGUUACAGCAGAUGGAAAUGAGCUCUGAAUUAAAGCAAUUGUUUCUGUUUCGUUUGGGCCCUGUAUAACUGGACCCUGGGUAAGGCCUGAUUGCCUGAGAAUGGGCGCUCAGCAGUUUUGAGAGGCUGUCAGAAGGAAGCUAUCCAAAAUGCAGACUAUACGCAUCUGAA
Strigops habroptila (Kakapo) is the source of this 7033-nucleotide long non-coding RNA. RefSeq lists it as uncharacterized. The transcript is spliced from 7 exons. Lineage: Eukaryota; Metazoa; Chordata; Aves; Psittaciformes; Psittacidae. The record is from RefSeq and is a predicted model, not a curated record.